AUGGACUCCAUUAAAGAUUGGUGGGGCCACAACACGUAUAGGAUGACGCAAUCCCGAAGGUCGCUCAUCUCCCUCAUGCUGCUCAUUUCAUGGGAGAUAUGGAAGGAACGGAAUGCAAGGGUAUUCCACGAUGCUGCGGUGCCGGUCGGAGUUAUUGUCAUAAAGAUAAAAGAGGAGUGUAGUCUGUGGUGUCUUGCUGGGGCUAAGCACUUGCGUAAAUUAAUGCCGCGAGAAUGA
Molecule: ribosomal RNA, 237 nt
Filed under: Triticum aestivum (bread wheat)
Lineage: Eukaryota; Viridiplantae; Streptophyta; Magnoliopsida; Poales; Poaceae
Description: partial small subunit ribosomal RNA
Source: RNAcentral